UUUGAAUGUGAAAACAUGGACGAUGAUUUCAAGACUUGCUGCUAUCGAAUACAGAUCGCCCCGUGAUCAAUUUAAUAGAUUAUUAACGUUUAUUAAUACCUAAAGUUGGUUUAGAAAAGUAAUUUGAAGUGAUUUGUAAAAGUAUAUAGGGAACUUUUGUAAAUUUUAAAAAGUGACGUUGCGUCUUGUAAAGGGGCAUUUUUCUGGAUCAGACCGGUCUUCAGCAAAUCACAUUUUGGGUAUACAAUGACGGAUUUAAUCGGGAAAAAGACCCAAUUGUGAUGUUUAUGUGACAUAUAGGAGUGCCAAGAAAGAAGCUCGUCAAAGAAUUUCCACCAGUGGCGCAUUUUAUGAAGCGUGAAAUUCCAGUCCAAACCAAAAGACAAUGAGACACGCCCAGACCCUAACAUUGAGCUGCCCAGGAGGAGACAGAUCAUCCGCAAACAAUUGAAGAAAACAUCGACUUAAUUUUGGACUGAAUCGAGGCGGUGGGUCACGUGUGUAACUGUAAGAAGCUAAGGUCUUAAGCCAUGGUUUUACCAGAAGGAUUGUACAACCCAGAAUGAAAGUCUGAGUCACAGCAGCUCUCUAUUCAGGAGAGUAGAGGAGAGGUCAUGUGUAACGGCUGUCGUG
This is a long non-coding RNA of Oncorhynchus tshawytscha (Chinook salmon), 633 nucleotides long. The record is from Ensembl. Lineage: Eukaryota; Metazoa; Chordata; Actinopteri; Salmoniformes; Salmonidae.